Molecule: long non-coding RNA, 402 nt
Organism: Salvelinus namaycush (lake trout)
Lineage: Eukaryota; Metazoa; Chordata; Actinopteri; Salmoniformes; Salmonidae
Exons: 3
Source: RefSeq, a predicted model, not a curated record
AUGCACAUAUAGUGACUAUUAGAGUGGUUAUGGAUUUAAAUCAACUAUUUUGAAUGUGAAGUGGAGGACGUGAAGACCAGUAAAGUUAAAAUGGCAGAGUCCAGACUUCAUAAUCAGUUUAAACUCACCUCAGAAGACUAUGUGUGGUCUGAUGUUGGUGAAGAGGUCACCCUCCCCUGUCACCUCUCACCUGACACCAGUGCUGUUGCCACGACGAUCAGGUGGUUUAAAGGGACAGAGUGUAUUUACCUGUAUAAGAAUGGCCAGGUGACAGAGAGGAGUGGCUAUGAGGGCAGAGUGAGUCUGAUCACCCAGGAGCUGGAGAGAGGCAACGUGUCUCUGAGGCUGAGAGACAUCAGGAGGUCAGAUAGAGGAGUCUACAUAUGUCAGGUCAUCCAUGGA